This 400-nucleotide unclassified non-coding RNA is filed under the name Hevea brasiliensis (rubber tree). Lineage: Eukaryota; Viridiplantae; Streptophyta; Magnoliopsida; Malpighiales; Euphorbiaceae. The record is from RNAcentral.
UGUGGCAUCACCAUCGCCUCCGAGGUUUAUUUAAUUCCUCCUUUUUAACAUGAUGUACUUGGGUUUUCAUAAAAAUGUAACAAAAUGAAAGCUUUUAUCUUUGCUAGUUUCUAUUUAAGAUCACUGCCCUUCAUGAGCAAAAAUUUUGAACAGUAUAUAUAUAUAUAACCUAUUCUGACUUUGUUUGCUAUCCAAUAAGCACAACUGUUGGCAGUACGAGGAAUGUGCAUUAUUGAUGCGUACUUUAAUUAAAUUUGGCAAUCUUAGCUGAGGGGGGAAGUUGUACUCUCAGCUUUAUAUGUUUUUAGUGUGAUUGAGAAACGAGUGAAUAGUGAUGUAGUCAUGUAGCUUUAGUGUUUGUUUAGUAUGCUAUUUUGCUCUUAAAGCGUUAGACUUCUUG